Molecule: unclassified non-coding RNA, 411 nt
Filed under: Hevea brasiliensis (rubber tree)
Lineage: Eukaryota; Viridiplantae; Streptophyta; Magnoliopsida; Malpighiales; Euphorbiaceae
Source: RNAcentral
CACUCUUUUUUCAUGUAUACAAACUAGUUCCAAAUUCCAAUACAUAAUUCCUCUAUGAAGGGUCACAAAAAGCUUCACACAUUCUUAAUUUUUGUGUGAGAAACAAAUUAAGAGAGGAGGAGACAUGAAAAAGAGGGGUGUUGUGCAUGGGUAUUAUGAUAGAGGGAACUAGGAAACUAGAUAUAUUUACAUGCAAAAAUAGAAAAACUGGCAAGAGAGGAUGUACAAGAAGAGGCAGAAGAGAUUACUGUCAGAAUCCUGAAUAUCAUAAGUAAUCCAUUGGAAGCUCCCAAUCAUCCUCAGAUUCUCUUAUUUUUGGAUGGAAUUUCUGUCUGCGAGAACUUCUCCGUGUGCUCCGGCCAUGAUCAGAACCAAGAGAAAUUUCACUAUCAGAGUAUCCUUCAAUUUCAU